RNAcentral lists this long non-coding RNA (343 nucleotides) under Chinchilla lanigera (long-tailed chinchilla). Its description in RNAcentral is "lncRNA (ENSCLAG00000023627.1)". Lineage: Eukaryota; Metazoa; Chordata; Mammalia; Rodentia; Chinchillidae. The record is from RNAcentral.
GGAUGUCCCACAGCAUGGAGCAUGAGAAGCAGGAUGCAGCUGGGCUUCCUCUGGUCCUCCUUCCCCGCCCUUUCUCUCUGCUUCCCAGGUGGAUGAAGCCCUCUGAUAAGCAGUCUUGCUUCGUGGAGUCUAGCUGGCUUUGUGGACCAUAGGGCUGUGAGGAAGACUGGACUUGAGCAGCCUCUUCAGAGUGCUCGGUUAAGUACUUCAACACCAGGGACCCUAACUCCAGCCUCUGGGUGGAACCAAGAAACACAAAACUCAGGGGUCCAGGAAGACUGAACCACGCCCUGACAAAUGCUGUCCUUAGAAAUGUACUGUUUUCACAGUGUUUAGAAUAAAC